GACGAACGCUGGCGGCGUGCUUAACACAUGCAAGUCGAACGGAAAGGCCCUUCGGGGUACUCGAGUGGCGAACGGGUGAGUAACACGUGGGUGAUCUGCCCUGCACUUUGGGAUAAGCCUGGGAAACUGGGUCUAAUACCGAAUAUGACCGCGCUCUUCAUGGGGUGUGGUGGAAAGCUUUUGCGGUGUGGGAUGGGCCCGCGGCCUAUCGGCUUGUUGGUGGGGUAAUGGCCUACCAAGGCGACGACGGGUAGCCGGCCUGAGAGGGUGACCGGCCACACUGGGACUGAGAUACGGCCCAGACUCCUACGGGAGGCAGCAGUGGGGAAUAUUGCACAAUGGGCGCAAGCCUGAUGCAGCGACGCCGCGUGAGGGAUGACGGCCUUCGGGUUGUAAACCUCUUUCAAUAGGGACGAAGCGCAAGUGACGGUACCUAUAGAAGAAGGACCGGCCAACUACGUGCCAGCAGCCGCGGUAAUACGUAGGGUCCGAGCGUUGUCCGGAAUUACUGGGCGUAAAGAGCUCGUAGGUGGUUUGUCGCGUUGUUCGUGAAAACUCACAGCUUAACUGUGGGCGUGCGGGCGAUACGGGCAGACUAGAGUACUGCAGGGGAGACUGGAAUUCCUGGUGUAGCGGUGGAAUGCGCAGAUAUCAGGAGGAACACCGGUGGCGAAGGCGGGUCUCUGGGCAGUAACUGACGCUGAGGAGCGAAAGCGUGGGGAGCGAACAGGAUUAGAUACCCUGGUAGUCCACGCCGUAAACGGUGGGUACUAGGUGUGGGUUUCCUUCCUUGGGAUCCGUGCCGUAGCUAACGCAUUAAGUACCCCGCCUGGGGAGUACGGCCGCAAGGCUAAAACUCAAAGGAAUUGACGGGGGCCCGCACAAGCGGCGGAGCAUGUGGAUUAAUUCGAUGCAACGCGAAGAACCUUACCUGGGUUUGACAUGCACAGGACGCCAGUAGAGAUAUUGGUUCCCUUGUGGCCUGUGUGCAGGUGGUGCAUGGCUGUCGUCAGCUCGUGUCGUGAGAUGUUGGGUUAAGUCCCGCAACGAGCGCAACCCUUGUCUCACGUUGCCAGCACGUAAUGGUGGGGACUCGUGAGAGACUGCCGGGGUCAACUCGGAGGAAGGUGGGGAUGACGUCAAGUCAUCAUGCCCCUUAUGUCCAGGGCUUCACACAUGCUACAAUGGCCGGUACAAAGGGCUGCGAUGCCGUGAGGUGGAGCGAAUCCUUUCAAAGCCGGUCUCAGUUCGGAUCGGGGUCUGCAACUCGACCCCGUGAAGUCGGAGUCGCUAGUAAUCGCAGAUCAGCAACGCUGCGGUGAAUACGUUCCCGGGCCU
This 1338-nucleotide ribosomal RNA is filed under the name uncultured bacterium. Its description in RNAcentral is "bacterial SSU rRNA". It matches the Rfam family "Bacterial small subunit ribosomal RNA", at positions 28 to 1381 of the family's 1533-position model. The record is from RNAcentral.